ACUAAAUAGAUACCCCGGUAGUCCACGCCGUAAACGAUGGAUACUAGCUGUUCGGAGCAAUCUGAGUGGCUAAAGCGAAAAGUGAUAAGUAUCCCACCUGGGGAGUACGCACGCAAGUGUGAAACUCAAAGGAAUUGACGGGGGCCCGCACAAGCGGUGGAGCAUGUGGUUUAAUUCGAUGAUACGCGAGGAACCUUACCAGGGCUUAAAUGUAGAUUGACAGGACUGGAAACAGUUUUUUCUUCGGACAAUUUACAAGGUGCUGCAUGGUUGUCGUCAGCUCGUGCCGUGAGGUGUCAGGUUAAGUCCUAUAACGAGCGCAACCCCUGUCGUUAGUUGCCAGCGAGUCAUGUCGGGAACUCUAACGAGACUGCCAGUGUAAACUGUGAGGAAGGUGGGGAUGACGUCAAAUCAUCACGGCCCUUACGUCCUGGGCCACACACGUGCUACAAUGGUAGGUACAGAGAGCAGCCACUGCGCGAGCAGGAGCGAAUCUACAAAACCUAUCUCAGUUCGG
This 517-nucleotide ribosomal RNA is filed under the name uncultured bacterium. RNAcentral describes it as "bacterial SSU rRNA". It matches the Rfam family "Bacterial small subunit ribosomal RNA", at positions 772 to 1296 of the family's 1533-position model. The record is from RNAcentral.